This 831-nucleotide long non-coding RNA is filed under the name Setaria viridis. Its description in RNAcentral is "long non-coding RNA (SVIR_LNC008422)". The record is from RNAcentral. Lineage: Eukaryota; Viridiplantae; Streptophyta; Magnoliopsida; Poales; Poaceae.
UCCAUUCACAACUCAAGCUUCCGAAAUCGUAGUAGCGCUUACACAGCUGCAGUUUCUAGAGCCCUCCCUGCCUUUCGAGCUCGCCACCAUGCCUGCCCUCGCCAAGCCCGCCUCCCGCCCCGCCAAGACGGCCGCCGCGCCGAAGCCGAAGCCCGCCGCCGCCAAGCCCAAGGCCGCCGCAGCCGGCGCCUCCCACCCGCCCUACUUUGAGGUGAGCUUUGUGCCCUUGUCGAUUCGCGUCUGGUUUCGUCUCUGAUUUGGAUUGCGUUCGAACUUGGGGGCUGAUCGAGAUUCUUUGUUUGUUCCGUGCAGAUGAUCAAGGAGGCGAUCACGGCGCUCAAGGAGAGGACCGGCUCGAGCUCCCACGCCAUCGCCAAGUACAUGGAGGACAAGCACGGCGCGUCGCUGCCGGCCAACUACAAGAAGAUGCUCUCCAUCCAGCUCCGCGGAUUCGCCGCCAAGGGCAAGCUCGUCAAGGUCAAGGCCUCCUACAAGCUCUCUGACGCUGCCAAGAAGGACUCCCCCAAGGCCAAGCCCGCCGCCGCCAAAACCGCCGCGGCCAAGCCGGUCAAGGCCACCGCCAAGCCCAAGAAGACCGCCGCAGCCGCCACCAAGCCCAAGAAGACCGCCGCCGCCGGGACCAAGCGCAAGACGCCGGAGAAGAAGAAGAUUGUUGCGAAGCCGAAGAAGUCCCCCGCGGCGAAGGCCAAGGCCAAGCCCAAGACCGUCAAGUCCCCCGCCUCCAAGAAGGCCCGGAAGGUCGCCGCAUGAGUCUGUUCCAUAGGUCGUAGCUCUGAUUGUGGUGGUUGUGCCUAGGAGUUGUACAAACGA